Non-coding RNA from Ceratobasidium sp. 394, 103 nucleotides. The record is from the annotation of a GenBank genome assembly. Lineage: Eukaryota; Fungi; Basidiomycota; Agaricomycetes; Cantharellales; Ceratobasidiaceae.
GGGAUAGAAGCUCAGUGGUUGAGCAAUCGAUUGCAGUUAUUACAUAAUUGAUUAUAUAAGCAUUUCUAUCGAUAGGUCGCGUGUUCGAAUCACGUCUGUCCCU